GUGCACCAGGCGAGAAUCCUCCGCAAUACACGAAAGUGUGACGGGGUUACCCAAAGUGUCCAAAUUUGGACUGUGGUAGGUGAGUAAUGUCCCCUACUAGAAAGGAGAGGGCAAGGCUGGUGCCAGCCGCCGCGGUAAAACCAGCUCUUCAAGUGGUCGGGAUAAUUAUUGGGCUUAAAGUGUCCGUAGCCGGUUUAGUAAGUUCCUGGUAAAAUCGGGUAGCUUAACUAUCUGUAUGCUAGGAAUACUGCUAUACUAGAGGGCGGGAGAGGUCUGAGGUACUACAGGGGUAGGAGUGAAAUCCUGUAAUCCUUGUAGGACCACCAGUGGCGAAGGCGUCAGACUGGAACGCGCCUGACGGUGAGGGACGAAAGCCAGGGGAGCG
This 385-nucleotide ribosomal RNA is filed under the name uncultured microorganism. RNAcentral's name for it is "bacterial SSU rRNA". It matches the Rfam family "Archaeal small subunit ribosomal RNA", at positions 330 to 721 of the family's 1478-position model. The record is from RNAcentral.